Molecule: long non-coding RNA, 219 nt
Filed under: Lathyrus oleraceus (garden pea)
Lineage: Eukaryota; Viridiplantae; Streptophyta; Magnoliopsida; Fabales; Fabaceae
Description: Pisum sativum (pea) long non-coding RNA (PSAT_LNC039692)
Source: RNAcentral
AUUUAUUCAAUAAUGCUCCCUACUUAGACAUAUGCAAAAGACAAAAUUUGCAAACAAACUCGGUUGAAGGUUCAAUUAAAACGAAAGAAAUUAGGCUUCAUUUAUUCGCAAAAUUUUCAAUGGAAUUUACACUUAUCAAUCAAAUGAAUCCUAAAACAAGCUCAAAGGGGUUAAACUAAGGAUCACUCCUCACAAGGUUAAUUGAUUCAAAACUUUUUG